Molecule: long non-coding RNA, 1441 nt
Filed under: Androctonus crassicauda
Lineage: Eukaryota; Metazoa; Arthropoda; Arachnida; Scorpiones; Buthidae
Source: RNAcentral
AUAUUUACGACAUAUCAACCUAUUCACUAUUUUCCUAUAAACAUUUUUCUCUUAUUACAUUAAUUGAUAUUUCAAUAAACUUCAUUUUUUAUUAAAUCCCAAAAUAAUAUAAGUGAAUUUCAUUAAAAUUAGAUAUAUUUAUAUGAGAAAUCAUAUUUGUAGAGAGAUCUAAUUUACAAGGGGAGAAUCAGUAAGCUACAAACACGUGUGGGGGCCUGACAGUGUUGAGCAUUAACAUGCUGACUGUACCAAAUAAAAGGGCAACUCAAGCUACAGGAGGGAAUUGUUCGAAAUUUCCUGUUGUAUGCACAGCACAACCUGCAUCUAACAACUUGGCAACUGUAUUGCAAGAAUGUAUGAUUGAAGAGCAGCAGUCUGUUUGGUUGUUUUUGUGGGCAAAAGAUAUUCACAAAGAACUUGUUCCUUCCUAUCUAUGGGCAGCACACAUUAUCAUAACAAGUGAUGCACAAUUAAGUAGAGAUGUUUGCCAAGGGAUGCAUAAAAGUCAUUGAUGAAGAACAACCUGGAAAUUAUAACCAUUGUAACUGUUGGAUAUUGAGGCCAAUGAUUUGUAUUGACAGAAGAAUCACCAUCACACAGUACUAAAUGUGAAUAGUGAUUGUAGUUUGACUUACAGUAUCAUACAUGAUCAGCUGUAAAGUCAUGUUGACUGUUUUAUUGGAUGCAGAAAGGUUCUGCUGACUCAUUUCCAACCAAGGGGUGCUAAUAUCAAUGCCAUCUCAUACUUAUGAGGUAUUAGGCAAAUUCUGUGAUGCAAUUUGCUGGAAACAUCUGUGUCUGCUGUCCUCUAGCAUCUUGCUCCAUCAUGACAAUACCAGACUACAGACAGCCUGAUUGAUGAUAGCAGAGAUGGAAAAACUGCUACAUGAGGUGUAGAAACAUCCACCUACAUUCCGGACUUCACACUCAAUGAAUUUCACCUGUUUGGUCCCCUGAAAACACAUUUGGCAGGCAAUAUUUUGGCAGUGAUGCAGAGAUCAAAUGGAAGGUGUGACUGAAGCUGACAGCAACCAAAAAAAUUCUAUACUGCAGAAUUCUAGGAAUUCAAACAGCACUGGGACAAAUGUGCAAAUGCAGGACAGAUUAUAUGUGAAAAAUGAACAAUGGUAUCAGGUAGGUAUCUCUUAUGAUUUCCAUGGUAUCAAUUUUUUUUUUUAACUUACUCUCCAUCAUAUAUCCUUUAAACAUUUUUGAAUGUUUAAGGAUAUCCUAAUAGUGUUUAUUAUUUGACACCAGAAAAAUAAAUGCUAUUAGUUCUUUGUUAUUAGAAUAUUGUUUAUCAUCUUCCCUAUUUAUGAUUUAAUAUAAAUGUUAUUAAAAAAUAAUGUAAAUUAAAGAAUAGGUAUACAUGCAAUACACAGGUGUUCCACAAUUCAUGUAAAUUCUACUUUGUGAAAAAAUUUUAGUCAAAAUAUUUUUU